Molecule: ribosomal RNA, 446 nt
Filed under: uncultured bacterium
Lineage: Bacteria
Description: bacterial SSU rRNA
Rfam family: Bacterial small subunit ribosomal RNA
Source: RNAcentral
ACCAGACUCCUACGGGAGGCAGCAGUGGGGAAUAUUGCACAAUGGGGGAAACCCUGAUGCAGCGACGCCGCGUGAGCGAUGAAGUAUUUCGGUAUGUAAAGCUCUAUCAGCAGGGAAGAAAAUGACGGUACCUGACUAAGAAGCCCCGGCUAACUACGUGCCAGCAGCCGCGGUAAUACGUAGGGGGCGAGCGUUAUCUGGAUUUACUGGGUGUAAAGGGAGCGUAGACGGCUGUGCAAGCCAGAUGUGAAAGUCCGGGGCUCAACCCCGGGACUGCAUUUGGAACUGCGUGGCUUGAGUGUCGGAGAGGCAGGCGGAAUUCCUAGUGUAGCGGUGAAAUGCGUAGAUAUUAGGAGGAACACCAGUGGCGAAGGCGGCCUACUGGACGGUGACUGACGCUGAGGCUCGAAAGCGUGGGGAGCAAACAGGAUUAGAUACCCUGGUAU